RNAcentral lists this ribosomal RNA (433 nucleotides) under uncultured bacterium. Its description in RNAcentral is "partial 16S ribosomal RNA". It matches the Rfam family "Bacterial small subunit ribosomal RNA", at positions 29 to 507 of the family's 1533-position model. The record is from RNAcentral.
AACGAACGCUGGCGGCAUGCCUAACACAUGCAAGUCGAACGAGACCUUCGGGUCUAGUGGCGCACGGGUGCGUAACGCGUGGGAACCUGCCCUUAGGUUCGGAAUAACUCCCCGAAAGGGGUGCUAAUACCGGAUAAGGUCUUCGGACCAAAGAUUUAUCGCCUUUGGAUGGGCCCGCGUUGGAUUAGCUAGUUGGUAGGGUAAAAGCCUACCAAGGCGACGAUCCAUAGCUGGUCUGAGAGGAUGAUCAGCCACACUGGGACUGAGACACGGCCCAGACUCCUACGGGAGGCAGCAGUGGGGAAUAUUGGACAAUGGGCGAAAGCCUGAUCCAGCAAUGCCGCGUGAGUGAUGAAGGCCUUAGGGUUGUAAAGCUCUUUUACCCGGGAUGAUAAUGACAGUACCGGGAGAAUAAGCACCGGCUAACUCCGUG